CCUGUUUCCUGCCGCUGCACCGCUGCUGCCUUCUUCAUCCACAGGCGUAGGUGCUCGCGUUGACCGCGUCAACCAGCGGCUCGUCCCGCGCCUUUGCUCGCUGCGUUGACCCGAUCUGGCCUCCUCGUUCGAUCCAGCGCCCCUUCCAGCCCUUCUACUCCACCGACCGGCCCAAGGCCCAGGGUGAGCAGCGCCCCUGGCCUUUACCUCUAUUGGGCUAGUCAGAUGCGGCCCGUACCAUGUUUUUUCCCAGUUCUGCAAUUUGCUAUUUAUCCAGAGAACGACUGUUUUACAGAAAAACCCUUGCACUUCAUGCAUUUAAUAACUCCACAACCGUGCAUUGUAUUAAAACAAACUAAAUAUGUAAAAUGCUUAGAAUUUUGUGUAGUUUAAUAAUAUGCCACUUUCACCCAUGUUAAAAUUGUUUAAAAUGUUGUUUGAUUAAAUUGUCUUAAAUAACAUGCUAAAAUGAUUUAAUUCAUAACUAAUUAACCGUAGCUCGGAUUUUAAUAAACUUUAUAUGUAAUUGGGGUAGGAAAAUGCCUAGUUUAACUUGGUGCACUUCAUUUUGCUGUUUAACAAUAUUAAAAUUGCGUUUAUGGCAGAACAGUACCAAUCCCAAUAUAUGGACAUGAGGAUUUUCCGUAAUUGUUGUUGUUUGUUUCCGGCCUCAUUUAACUUGCUUAAAUAGGUAGUUUCCUUAUGCUUCACCUCUUGCCAUGGUUAACAACAUUUAACAUUGUUGGGUACAUAACCAAGAGAGAACUAAAUAGUUGAUGUGGUGUUUCGUCAAUAUGCAACUCGUUGCAUAUUGAACUCCACUUAAUUUGUAGUAUUGUUUGUUGCACUUUGCCAUGCCAUGCCUCAUUAAACCGGACAUGCAUCAUAUUUGUUUUUGCAUCAUGCCAUGUGUAUGUGGUGGUUGUUUACUAUGUUGUUUGUUUCUUUCCGGUUUGCUUCUCUCGUUACCUUCGGCUUCGUUCCGGAGUUGUGAGGAUUCCUUCGUCUACGUCCGUUUGUCUUCUUCAUGGACUCGUUCUUCUUCUUUGCGGGAUUUCAGGCAAGAUGACCACCCCUCGAAAUCACUUCUAUCUUUGCUAUGCUAGUUGAUCGCUCUAUUGCCAUGCUCGCUACCUAUCACUUGCUAUAUCAUGUCUCCCAUUUUAGCCAUGUCAGCCCUAACCAUCCCUUCCUAGCAAACCGUUGUUUGGCUAUGUUACCGCUUUUGCUCAGCCCCUCUUAUAGCGUUGCUAGUUGCAGGUGAAGUUGAAGUUUGUUCCAUGUCGGAACAUGGAUAUGUUGGGAUAUCACAAUAUCUCUUAUUUAAUUAAUGCAUCUAUAUAUCUUGGUAAAGGGUGGAAGGCUCGGCCUUAUGCCUGGUGUUUUGUUCCACUCUUGCCGCCCUAGUUUCCGUCAUACCGGUGUUAUGUUCCUUGAUUUUGCGUUCCUUACGCGGUUGGGUGAUUUAUGGGACCCCCUUGACAGUUAGCUUUGGAUAAAACUCCUCCAGCAAGGCCCAACCUUGGUUUUACCAUUUGCUACCACCUAUCCCCUUUUUCCUUGGGUUCUGCAGACUCAAGGGUCAUCUUAUUUUAACCCCCCGGGCCAGUGCUCCUUCGAGUGUUGGUCCGAACUGAGUAGACUGCGGGGCCCCCUCGUGGAAACUCGAGGUCUGGUUUUACUCGUAGGAUGUCUCAUCCGGUGUUGCCCUGAGAACGAGAUAUGUGCAGCUCCUAUCGGGAUUUGUCGGCACACCGGGCGGCUUUGCUGGUCUUGUUUUACCAUUGUCGGAAUGUCUUGUAAACCGGGAUUCCGAGACUGAUCGGGUCGUUCCGGGAGAAGGUUUAUCCUUCGUUGACCGUGAGAGCUUAUAAUGGGCUAAGUUGGGACACCCCUGCAGGGUAUUAUCUUUAGAAAGCCGUGCCCGCGGUUAUGAGGCAGAUGGGAAUUUGUUAACGUCCGGUUGUAGAGAACUUGACACUUGACCUUAAUUAAAACGCAUCAACCGCGUGUGUAGCCGUGAUGGUCUCUUCUCGGCGGAGUCCGGGAAGCGAACACGGUUUGAGUUAUGAAUGACGUAAGUAGGAGUUCAGGAUCACAUCUUGAUCAUUGCUAGUUCACGACCGUUCCGUUGCUUCUCUUCUCGCUCUCAUUUGCGUAUGUUAGCCACCAUAUAAGCUUAGUGCUUGCUGCAGCUCCACCUCACUACCCCAUCCUUUCCUUUAAGCUUAAAUAGUCUUGAUCUCGCGGGUGUGAGAUUGCUGAGUCCUCGUGACUCACAGAUACUUCCAAAACAGUUGCAGGUGCCGACGAUGCCAGUGCAGGUGACGCAACCGAGCUCAAGUGGGAGCUCGAUGAAGAUCUUGUCCGUUGUGUUGUUUCUUUUCUUAUUGAUCAGUAGUGCAGCCCAGUUGGGACGAUCAGGGAUCUAGCAGUUGGGUUGUCUUCUUUUCUUUUGGGUUCCGUAGUCGGACCUAUGUGUGUAUCUUGAAUGAUGUAUGAUUAUUUAUGUAUUGUGUGAAGUGGCGAUUGUAAGCCAACUCUUUAUCCCAUUCUUGUUCAUUACAUGGGAUUGUG
This 2577-nucleotide long non-coding RNA is filed under the name Triticum aestivum (bread wheat). RNAcentral describes it as "long non-coding RNA (TAES_LNC013537)". The record is from RNAcentral. Lineage: Eukaryota; Viridiplantae; Streptophyta; Magnoliopsida; Poales; Poaceae.